This is a long non-coding RNA of Chrysolophus pictus (golden pheasant), 2896 nucleotides long. Lineage: Eukaryota; Metazoa; Chordata; Aves; Galliformes; Phasianidae. The record is from Ensembl.
UCGCGUCCGGGGCGGGCCCUGCCGUAGCGGUGCCACCAUGGAGCAGCCCGGGGGCCGCCCCCCCAUCCCCGCAACACAGGACGCCAUCGUCUUCUCCGACGCGGCAUCGCCUGCGGGGACCCCCGGAGCCCCCAACCCGCCGCCCGCAGAUGUCUUCUGGGCCAGCCUGGUGCAGGCCCAGAUGUGUGUGUGGGACCUGCAGGGCGCCAUCGAGGGGACGCGCGGUGGGGACGGGCGCCACAAUGGGUCCCAGUGCGGGGAUGUUGAGGGGAGCGGGGGGUCCGGGGUCUCGUUGCAGGGCGUGGGGUCCUGCGGGGUCUCGGCCCGAUCCGUCGCCACGGAUGGGAGAACCUCGCCAAAGUUCGCGGCCGCCCGUGGCACCGACCCAGCUGGAUCCAUCGCUGCGUUUGGGACGAGCUCCCAAACUGCCCGUGGGGUCGGCUCGUGUGGGGUCGGCACACCCCAGUCCAUCCCCACGUAUGGGAGAACCUCUGCAAAGGAUGCGAGCUCCUAUGGGGUCGGCUCGUGUGGGGUCAGCGCAGCCGAAUCCGUCCCUGCGUGUGGGAGAACCUCUGCAAAGGAUGCGGGCACCUGUGGGAUCUCCUCAGCUGAGCGCAUCCCCACCUAUGGGGGAACCUCGAUGGAGGACGUGGGCACCUAUGGGAUCUCACCCCGAUCCACCCCUGGGUAUGGGAACCCCCCCACAAAGGAUGCGACCGCCCGUGGGACCGCCUCACGUGGGACCACCUCAACAGAACCCACCUAUGGGAGACCCUCCUCAGAGGACGUGUGCAUGUAUGGGACCACCUAUGAAUCCAUCCCCACCUAUGGGAGAACCUCCGUGGAGGACACAGGCACCCAUGGGACCCCACCCCAAUCCAUCCCUGGGUAUGGGAACCCCUCCCCAAAGGGUGCGACCGCCCAUGGGACCGCCUCACAUGGGACCACCUCAACAGAACCCAUCCCCACCUAUGGGAGAACCUCGCUGCAGGAUGUGGACACCUAUGGGGUCUCACCCCAAUCCAUCCCCACCUAUGGGAGAGCCUCCCCAAAGGAUGCGACCACCCAUGGGACCACCUCAACAGAACCCAUCCCCACCGGUGGGACAACCUCAAUGGAAGACACAGAUGCCUAUGGGAUCUCACCCCGAUCCACCCCUGGGUAUGGGAACCCCCCCCCAAAGGAUGCGACCACCCAUGGGACCACCUCAACAGAACCCAUCCCCAUUUAUGGGAGAGCCUCCACUGAAGAUGUGUCCAUGUAUGGGACCAUCUAUGAAUCCAUCCCCACCUAUGGGAGAACCUCAGUGGAGGCCGUGGGCACCUAUGGGACCCCACCCCACUCCACCCCCACAUAUGGGAACCCCUCCCCAAAGGAUGCAGCCGCCUGUGGGAUCGCCUUAUCAGAGUCCAUCCCCACAUUUGGGGGAACCUCAGUGGGCGACACGGAUGUCUAUGGGGUCACACCUCAAUCCAUCCCCACGUAUGGGAGAAGCACCCCAAAGGAUGUGAGCACCCGUGGGACCACCUCAACUGAAUCCAUCCCCACCUGUGGGAGAACCUUGCUGGAGGACGCGGAUGUUUAUGGGGUCUCACCCCAACCCAUCCCCGCAUAUGGGAACACCUCCCCAAAGGAUCUGAGCACCCAUGGGAUCACCGCAACAGAACCCCUCCCCACCUGUGGGAAAACCUCAAAGGAGGAUGUGGGUGCUUAUGGGAUCUCACCCCAAUCCAUCCCCACCCCUGGGAGAACCUCGAUGGAGGACGUGGACACCCAUGGGAUCUCACCCCAAUCCAUGUAUGGGAGAACCACCCCAAAGGAUGUGAGCACCCAUGGGAUCACCGCAACAGAACCCAUCCCCACCUAUGGGAGAACCUCGAUGGAGGGUGUUUAUGGGAUCACCUCGCCCCAAUCCGUGCCCAUGGAUGGGAGCACCUUGAUGGAACCCCAGAGCUGGAACUCCAUGUCUGAGACCACCUCCCCGAUGUCCCCCGUGGGUGGGAGCAUCCCACCCCACCAACACAUGCCCACCCAUGGGAUCCUCUCACCCAAAUCCACACCCACCUUUGGGGCCACCUCAUCCGAUCCCACACACGUGAGUGGGACCACCAUGUGGGGACGAGUUCCUAUGGAUGAGACCACCUCCCCCAAAUCCAGGCCUAUGGAUGGGACCACCACCCCCAAAUCCAGGCCUAUGGAUGGGACCACCACCCCCAAAUCCGGGCCUAUGGAUGAGACCACCUCAUGGGGACAAGUUCCUAUAGAUGAGACCACCUCCCCCAAACCCACGCCUAUGAAUGAGACCACCACCCCCAUAUCCACACCUAUGGAUGAGACCACCACCCCCAUAUCCAUACUUACGAAUGAGACCACCUCAUGGGGACGAGUUCCUGUAGAUGAGACCACCACCCCCAAACCCACGCCUAUGGAUGGGACCACCUCCCCCAAAUUCAUACCUAUGGAUGGGACCACCACCCCCAAAUCCGUACCUAUGGAUGAGAGCACCUCAUGGGGACGAGUUCCUAGGGAUGAGACCACCUCCCCCAAACCCACACCCAUGGGUGGUCCCACCUCCCCCAAACCCACACCCAUGGGUGUUACCACCUCCCCCAAGCUCAGUCCCAGAGAUGGGGCCCCCAAAUGGAGCGAGCAAGAGGAGGAGGAAGAGGAGGAGGAGGAGGAGGAUGAAGAUGAGGAGGAGGAUGGUGAGGAAGAGGAGGACGUGGAGGAAGAGGAGCCCCACUUCCACACCAACCCUCUCUUCUGCGGGCUCUACAAACCACACCUGCAGAUCACUGAGGGGGACAUCGCGGCAGCCCCCACCAUGGGGGGCACCCAGGAGGUACAUGGGGUGGGGAGGGGGCUGGGGUCACCCCAGAACUCCCCCCUCCCCCCC